UACGGAGGAUGCGAGCGUUAUCCGGAUUUAUUGGGUUUAAAGGGUGCGUAGGCGGGCUUUUAAGUCAGCGGUAAAAAUUCGGGGCUCAACCCCGUCCGGCCGUUGAAACUGGGGGUCUUGAGUGGGCGAGAAGAAGGCGGAAUGCGUGGUGUAGCGGUGAAAUGCAUAGAUAUCACGCAGAACCCCGAUUGCGAGGGCAGCCUUCCGGCGCCCUACUGACGCUGAGGCACGAAAGUGCGGGGAUCGAACAGG
Molecule: ribosomal RNA, 252 nt
Filed under: uncultured bacterium
Lineage: Bacteria
Description: partial 16S ribosomal RNA
Rfam family: Bacterial small subunit ribosomal RNA
Source: RNAcentral